UCCUACGGGAGGCAGCAGUAGGGAAUUUUCGUCAAUGGGCGCAAGCCUGAACGAGCAAUGCCGCGUGAACGAGGAAGGUCUUCGGAUCGUAAAGUUCUGUUAAGGGGAAAAAGAGCGGAGAGAGGAAAUGGUCUCCGAUUGAUAUUACCCUUCGAGGAAGUCACGGCUAACUACGUGCCAGCAGCCGCGGUAAUACGGAGGAUGCGAGCGUUAUCCGGAUUCAUUGGGUUUAAAGGGUGCGCAGGCGGGCCUUUAAGCCGGCGGUGAAAUCGCGGGGCCCAACCCCGCCGAG
This 292-nucleotide ribosomal RNA is filed under the name uncultured bacterium. RNAcentral's name for it is "partial 16S ribosomal RNA". It matches the Rfam family "Bacterial small subunit ribosomal RNA", at positions 337 to 622 of the family's 1533-position model. The record is from RNAcentral.